AGCGAUCUCGAAUAUCUACGUACCGUACUUCAGGUCUUCGUCUUCUAACGUAUGACAAUCGACCCUGAGCUAGGAAUCUCUCCUGCUUAUAUACCCCGAUGGUAGCCGUACCAUUAUUGAAGGAGGGGUGUUCUUCCAAAGUGUCUCAUCACUAGUAUCUGAGUUUCCUAAGGAACACCCCUUUACAUUUGACCUGACCCAAAGUUUACCCGCGAAACAUCUUACUCUUUUCUAUGUUUAUUAAAGUAUCAUAUAAAUAUAUAAAAUAAGGCUUCUGCCGAACUGUAACCAGUGUAAACA
This 300-nucleotide long non-coding RNA is filed under the name Mytilus galloprovincialis (Mediterranean mussel). Lineage: Eukaryota; Metazoa; Mollusca; Bivalvia; Mytilida; Mytilidae. The record is from RNAcentral.